CGCAGCCGCGGUAAUUCCAGCUCCAAUAGCGUAUAUUAAAGUUGUUGCAGUUAAAAAGCUCGUAGUUGAAUUUCGGGAUCAAUAUGUUGGUCGUGCCUUGGUACGUACUAUCUUAUUGGUUUCUCCCUUCUGACGAACCAUGAUGUCAUUAAUUUGAUGUCUUGGGGAAUCAGGACUGUUACUUUGAAAAAUUAGAGUGUUUAAAGCAGGCUCACGCUUGAAUAUAUUAGCAUGGAAUAAUGAAAUAGGACGUUUGAUUCUAUUUUGUUGGUUUCUAGGAUCGAUGUAAUGAUUAAUAGGGAUAGUUGGGGGCAUUAGUAUUCAAUUGUCAGAGGUGAAAUUCUUGGAUUUAUUGAAGACUAACUACUGCGAAAGCAUUUGCCAAGGAUGUUUUCAUUAAUCAAGAACGAAAGUUAGGGGAUCGAAGACGAUCAGAUACCGUCGUAGUCU
This 450-nucleotide ribosomal RNA is filed under the name uncultured Glomus. RNAcentral describes it as "SSU rRNA". It matches the Rfam family "Eukaryotic small subunit ribosomal RNA", at positions 569 to 1026 of the family's 1831-position model. Lineage: Eukaryota; Fungi; Glomeromycota; Glomeromycetes; Glomerales; Glomeraceae. The record is from RNAcentral.